Non-coding RNA from Ictidomys tridecemlineatus (thirteen-lined ground squirrel), 1912 nucleotides. The record is from RefSeq and is a predicted model, not a curated record. NCBI's taxonomy places the organism in Eukaryota, Metazoa, Chordata, Mammalia, Rodentia, Sciuridae.
UAUUGUCUGGGGAGCUUAAUUUGCUAGAGCUCUUUCAUCCUAUCCUUAAUUAUGUAUAUAUUUAAUGACCGAGCCCCCUUCUGCCUGCUCAGCGCUUGUAUGACACCACUUCUCUUAGUGCCACCUGAUGACUCACGGCUCUCCCUUUUUACUCUCCUUGCUUCAAACUCUACACUUAAAUAUCAAUACUCAGUUCAGCUUUGAGUAUUAAGACAUUUUUUUUCCCCCUCUGCUUCCUUGAAGAGCCGUGUGCAAGCCUUUUCACAUUUUUUUCUGGACCAAACAGUGGUGGUUUUACAUGAGAACGAGAGCUCUUCCUGCUCCUGAACGCCUGUUUGGAAGCGAGCUCUAGACUGCUACCUGCCCAUUUCUGCAUGGCUGAGCAAAUUCACCGGUAAAUCCCAGCCUCUCCUCAUUUCCAUCACUGUGCGUCUCCAAAUUACAGAGAAUCCAUUCCUGAGCUGGACAGGUGCCAGAAGUUUCUCAUCCCGCUGUCGGUGGCUGUCUUUUCCUCUCCCGUCUUCGAGGCUUUCUGAUUCCUGGAGUGAGCUCGACUCAGAGGUUCCCAGCCUCUCCCUCGCCUGGCAUUCCCCCACAGUCACAUCCAGCUCGGUGAUUCAGAGGACGACGUGUGGCAGCUUUUGAUUCUCCUCUCCUGUUACCUGCAGGUGUUCCAGAAACUUCAAAAUGCGUCUGAUAGGAAGACCAGCACAGAGAGGUCAAGUGGAUUACUCAAGACAACAGCACCAGUAAACAGCAGGAUUGAAGACUUGGACCCAGUAUUCCUACUCCAGGGCCAGGCUUGGCCCCCACAAAUGCUGCCUCCAGCUUCCUUGGUACUGUGGCUCAUCAGAACAGUGUGUUUCUUUGGGUCAAGAAAUCACGUGUCUUGGCAUAGCGCCUGAGGAAGGAUGGCAUCAUUCCCAUUUUACAGACAAUGUGAAGCUGUCUGCAGACACUUUGAGCACCCAAGUCACACAUCCAGGAGCAGUACGUUGCGGUGUCCUAUAGAGACCAUGAGUGUUACUUGUUUCAAUAAUUCCCCGAGGAGGAAGACUUGUUCCUUAGUCCAUUUGGGUAGCUAUGCCAAGACCACAGACCAGGGGGCUUAUAAAAACAGAAAUUGGUUCUUCAAAGUUCCAGUAGGAAUGGGAUUUGUGCCAGCUUCCUUGACUCUGUGUCCUCCUGUGCUCACUAGGUGGAAGGAAGUGUAAGAGCCCUCUGGGCCUGUUUCUAAGGCUACUAACCCAUCCAGGAGGCUCCAACUUCUUGAUCUGGUCAUCCCGAAUACUUACCUCCAACACCAUAACCUGGGAAGCUGGUGCUUUAACAGGUAGAUUCUUGGGAAGUGCAAACAUUCAGAUGACAGCAACUCAUUUAAUCCUGGAAGGGAAUGCAGGACUGGCAUUGAUAUCGGGUGGUGAGCUACAGGCUCAAGGGGACUCAGGCAUGGCAAAAACUGGCCAUGGUGAGGCCCAUGACCUCUGGAUGAGGAGACGCAGUCAGCCCAAGGAAAUCCCGCACAUAGCCAGCUUCCUCCCCAUCAGAACAACGUGGAGAGUUGUGCAUCAGGAAAGAGGUAGUGAGGACAUGUUCUGGUCUUUGUACUCCCUGCAUCCCUCCAGGAAAAGCACCCAAAGAUCUGUCCUUCAGACUCUUACCUUCAACUUCCAGGUUUUUAAUCAGACUCAUCACAGUAAAACAUAUCACCAAAAACAUGGAGCAAAAAAAUUGGAAAAAUGUCUCUGCAUUAGCACUUCAGUUGCCUUUACAAACAGUUUUACAAAGUCGGCUCUUCUCUGUGCUUGCUUGCUAACCCUCUUGUUUAAGUCCCUGAGCAUCAACUUGGUUUCUUUGAAUUACGUCAUGAGCUUGUUGGUGCCUGGUUUAUGAAUGAUCAGUAACAAAUGAC